RNAcentral lists this ribosomal RNA (465 nucleotides) under Vreelandella stevensii. RNAcentral describes it as "partial 16S ribosomal RNA". It matches the Rfam family "Bacterial small subunit ribosomal RNA", at positions 338 to 795 of the family's 1533-position model. Lineage: Bacteria; Pseudomonadati; Pseudomonadota; Gammaproteobacteria; Oceanospirillales; Halomonadaceae. The record is from RNAcentral.
CCUACGGGAGGCUGCAGUGGGGAAUAUUGGACAAUGGGGGCAACCCUGAUCCAGCCAUGCCGCGUGUGUGAAGAAGGCCCUCGGGUUGUAAAGCACUUUCAGUGAGGAAGAACGCCUGGUGGUUAAUACCCAUCAGGAAAGACAUCACUCACAGAAGAAGCACCGGCUAACUCCGUGCCAGCAGCCGCGGUAAUACGGAGGGUGCGAGCGUUAAUCGGAAUUACUGGGCGUAAAGCGCGCGUAGGUGGCUUGAUAAGCCGGUUGUGAAAGCCCCGGGCUCAACCUGGGAACGGCAUCCGGAACUGUCAAGCUAGAGGGCAGGAGAGGAAGGUAGAAUUCCCGGUGUAGCGGUGAAAUGCGUAGAGAUCGGGAGGAAUACCAGUGGCGAAGGCGGCCUUCUGGACUGACACUGACACUGAGGUGCGAAAGCGUGGGUAGCAAACAGGAUUAGAUACCCCUGUAGUC